Molecule: ribosomal RNA, 1449 nt
Filed under: uncultured organism
Description: 16S ribosomal RNA
Rfam family: Bacterial small subunit ribosomal RNA
Source: RNAcentral
CAGGCCUAACACAUGCAAGUCGAGCGGUAGCACAGAGAGCUUGCUCUCGGGUGACGAGCGGCGGACGGGUGAGUAAUGUCUGGGAAACUGCCUGAUGGAGGGGGAUAACUACUGGAAACGGUAGCUAAUACCGCAUAACGUCGCAAGACCAAAGUGGGGGACCUUCGGGCCUCAUGCCAUCAGAUGUGCCCAGAUGGGAUUAGCUAGUAGGUGGGGUAACGGCUCACCUAGGCGACGAUCCCUAGCUGGUCUGAGAGGAUGACCAGCCACACUGGAACUGAGACACGGUCCAGACUCCUACGGGAGGCAGCAGUGGGGAAUAUUGCACAAUGGGCGCAAGCCUGAUGCAGCCAUGCCGCGUGUGUGAAGAAGGCCUUCGGGUUGUAAAGCACUUUCAGCGGGGAGGAAGGCGGUGAGGUUAAUAACCUCAUCGAUUGACGUUACCCGCAGAAGAAGCACCGGCUAACUCCGUGCCAGCAGCCGCGGUAAUACGGAGGGUGCAAGCGUUAAUCGGAAUUACUGGGCGUAAAGCGCACGCAGGCGGUCUGUCAAGUCGGAUGUGAAAUCCCCGGGCUCAACCUGGGAACUGCAUUCGAAACUGGCAGGCUAGAGUCUUGUAGAGGGGGGUAGAAUUCCAGGUGUAGCGGUGAAAUGCGUAGAGAUCUGGAGGAAUACCGGUGGCGAAGGCGGCCCCCUGGACAAAGACUGACGCUCAGGUGCGAAAGCGUGGGGAGCAAACAGGAUUAGAUACCCUGGUAGUCCACGCCGUAAACGAUGUCGAUUUGGAGGUUGUGCCCUUGAGGCGUGGCUUCCGGAGCUAACGCGUUAAAUCGACCGCCUGGGGAGUACGGCCGCAAGGUUAAAACUCAAAUGAAUUGACGGGGGCCCGCACAAGCGGUGGAGCAUGUGGUUUAAUUCGAUGCAACGCGAAGAACCUUACCUGGUCUUGACAUCCACAGAACUUUCCAGAGAUGGAUUGGUGCCUUCGGGAACUGUGAGACAGGUGCUGCAUGGCUGUCGUCAGCUCGUGUUGUGAAAUGUUGGGUUAAGUCCCGCAACGAGCGCAACCCUUAUCCUUUGUUGCCAGCGGUUAGGCCGGGAACUCAAAGGAGACUGCCAGUGAUAAACUGGAGGAAGGUGGGGAUGACGUCAAGUCAUCAUGGCCCUUACGACCAGGGCUACACACGUGCUACAAUGGCAUAUACAAAGAGAAGCGACCUCGCGAGAGCAAGCGGACCUCAUAAAGUAUGUCGUAGUCCGGAUUGGAGUCUGCAACUCGACUCCAUGAAGUCGGAAUCGCUAGUAAUCGUAGAUCAGAAUGCUACGGUGAAUACGUUCCCGGGCCUUGUACACACCGCCCGUCACACCAUGGGAGUGGGUUGCAAAAGAAGUAGGUAGCUUAACCUUCGGGAGGGCGCUUACCACUUUGUGAUUCAUGACUGGGGUGAA